RNAcentral lists this ribosomal RNA (492 nucleotides) under uncultured bacterium. RNAcentral's name for it is "partial 16S ribosomal RNA". It matches the Rfam family "Bacterial small subunit ribosomal RNA", at positions 29 to 507 of the family's 1533-position model. The record is from RNAcentral.
AGUGAACGCUGGCGGUAGGCCUAACACAUGCAAGUCGAACGGCAGCACAGUAAGAGCUUGCUCUUACGGGUGGCGAGUGGCGGACGGGUGAGGAAUACAUCGGAAUCUACUUUUUCGUGGGGGGUAACGUAGGGAAACUUACGCUAAUACCGCAUAGGACCUACGGGUGAAAGCAGGGGAUCUUCGGACCUUGCGCGAUUGAAUGAGCCGAUGUCGGAUUAGCUAGUUGGCGGGGUAAAGGCCCACCAAGGCGACGAUCCGUAGCUGGUCUGAGAGGAUGAUCAGCCACACUGGAACUGAGACACGGUCCAGACUCCUACGGGAGGCAGCAGUGGGGAAUAUUGGACAAUGGGCGCAAGCCUGAUCCAGCCAUACCGCGUGGGUGAAGAAGGCCUUCGGGUUGUAAAGCCCUUUUGUUGGGAAAGAAAAGCAGCAGGUUAAUACCCCGCUGUUCUGACGGUACCCAAAGAAUAAGCACCGGCUAACUUCGUG